This 794-nucleotide ribosomal RNA is filed under the name uncultured bacterium. RNAcentral's name for it is "bacterial SSU rRNA". It matches the Rfam family "Bacterial small subunit ribosomal RNA", at positions 8 to 796 of the family's 1533-position model. The record is from RNAcentral.
AGAGUUUGAUCCUGGCUCAGAAUGAACGCUGGCGGCGUGCCUAACACAUGCAAGUCGAAUGUGCCGCAAGGUGCAUGGCAGACGGGUGAGUAACGCGUAGGGAAUCUACCUUUUAGUGGGGAAUAACGCUCCGAAAGGAGUGGUAAUACCGCAUGAGACCGUAGUCUGGGAUGACAACGGUGAAACCUGGGGACCGCAAGGCCUGGGGCUAAAAGAGGAUCCUGCGUCUGAUUAGCUAGUUGGCGGGGUAAUGGCCCACCAAGGCGACGAUCAGUAGCCGGCCUGAGAGGGUGAUCGGCCACACUGGAACUGAGACACGGUCCAGACUCCUACGGGAGGCAGCAGUGGGGAAUUUUGCGCAAUGGACGAAAGUCUGACGCAGCAACGCCGCGUGGGUGAUGAAGGUCUUCGGACUGUAAAACCCUGUCGUCAGGGACGAAGGUUGGGGGGUUAAUAGCCCUUUAGCUUGACGGUACCUGGAGAGGAAGCCCCGGCUAACUCCGUGCCAGCAGCCGCGGUAAUACGGAGGGUGCAAGCGUUGUUCGGAAUCACUGGGCGUAAAGGGCGCGUAGGCGGCCGAUCAAGUCUGAUGUGAAAGCCCGGGGCUCAACCCCGGAAGUGCAUUGGAAACUGGUCGGCUUGAGUUCAGGAGAGGAGGGCAGAAUUCCCGGUGUAGGGGUGAAAUCCGUAGAGAUCGGGAGGAAAACCAGUGGCGAAGGCGGCCCUCUGGAACGAAACUGACGUUGAGGCGCGAAAGCGUGGGGAGCAAACAGGAUUAGAUACCCUGGUAGUCC